RNAcentral lists this ribosomal RNA (305 nucleotides) under uncultured bacterium. RNAcentral describes it as "bacterial SSU rRNA". It matches the Rfam family "Bacterial small subunit ribosomal RNA", at positions 332 to 631 of the family's 1533-position model. The record is from RNAcentral.
UGGGCCCUACGGGAGGCAGCAGUAGGGAAUUUUCGUCAAUGGGCGCAAGCCUGAACGAGCAAUGCCGCGUGAACGAGGAAGGUCUUCGGAUCGUAAAGUUCUGUUGAAGGGGAAAAAGAGCGGAGAGAGGAAAUGAACUCCGAUUGAUAUUACCCUUCGAGGAAGUCACGGCUAACUACGUGCCAGCAGCCGCGGUAAUACGUAGGUGGCGAGCGUGAUCCGGAAUGAUUGGGCGUAAAGGGUGCGUAGGCGGCCUGCUAAGUCUGGAGUGAAAGGUACCGGCUCAACCGGAACAGGCUCUGGAA